RNAcentral lists this non-coding RNA (44 nucleotides) under Schistosoma mansoni. Lineage: Eukaryota; Metazoa; Platyhelminthes; Trematoda; Strigeidida; Schistosomatidae. The record is from RNAcentral.
AUCCAGGUACGAGUCCCAAAUAGGACGAAACGCGCGUCCUGGAU